Molecule: ribosomal RNA, 414 nt
Filed under: Goes tigrinus (white oak borer)
Lineage: Eukaryota; Metazoa; Arthropoda; Insecta; Coleoptera; Cerambycidae
Description: partial 16S ribosomal RNA
Rfam family: Archaeal large subunit ribosomal RNA (bases 1-205)
Source: RNAcentral
CCUGGUUAUCAAAAACAUGUCUUUUUGAUAAUAAUUUAAAGUCUGGCCUGCCCACUGAGUCUUUAAAGGGCCGCGGUAAUUUGACCGUGCUAAGGUAGCAUAAUCAUUAGUUUUUUAAUUGAAAGCUGGUAUGAAUGGUCGGAUGAGAAAAUAACUGUCUCUAUUUAAUUUUAUUUGAAUUUUAUUUUUAAGUAAAAAAGCUUAAAUUUAAUUAAAAGACGAGAAGACCCUAUAGAGUUUUAUAAAAUUUAAAAUUUAAAUUUUUAGAAUUAUAAUUUUGUAUUUUAAAUUUUAUUUGGUUGGGGCGAUUGAAAAAUUUAAUAAACUUUUUUUAUAUAAUAACAUUAAUGUAUGAAUUUUUGAUCCAUAAAUAAAUGAUUAUAAGAUUAAAUUACCUUAGGGAUAACAGCGUAA